UGCCAGCCGCCGCGGUAAUACGGAGGGUGCAAGCGUUAUCCGGAUUUACUGGGUUUAAAGGGUGCGCAGGCGGACUGAUCAGUCAGUGGUGAAAUCCCCCGGCUUAACCGGGAAACUGCCAUUGAUACUGUCAGUCUUGAGUAUGGUAGAGGUGGGCGGAAUGUAGCAUGUAGCGGUGAAAUGCUUAGAUAUGCUACAGAACACCGAUUGCGUAGGCAGCUCACUAGACCAUUACUGACGCUCAGGCACGAAAGCGUGGGUAGCGAACAGGAUUAGAUA
RNAcentral lists this ribosomal RNA (279 nucleotides) under uncultured bacterium. RNAcentral's name for it is "partial 16S ribosomal RNA". It matches the Rfam family "Bacterial small subunit ribosomal RNA", at positions 506 to 784 of the family's 1533-position model. The record is from RNAcentral.